This 115-nucleotide ribosomal RNA is filed under the name Escherichia coli. The record is from RNAcentral. Lineage: Bacteria; Pseudomonadati; Pseudomonadota; Gammaproteobacteria; Enterobacterales; Enterobacteriaceae.
CUGGCGGCCKUAGCGCGGUGGUCCCACCUGACCCCAUGCCGAACUCAGAAGUGAAACGCCGUAGCGCCGAUGGUAGUGUGGGGUCUCCCCAUGCGAGAGUAGGGAACUGCCAGGC